GCCGCGGUCGCAUAGUCUGGCCAUUGCGUAGGAUUGCUAAUCCUAUGUCCUUCGGGGCACGGGAGUUCAAAUCUCCCCCGCGGCG
RNAcentral lists this transfer RNA (85 nucleotides) under Candidatus Woesearchaeota archaeon. Its description in RNAcentral is "tRNA-Ser". It matches the Rfam family "tRNA". Rfam says of the family: Transfer RNA (tRNA) molecules are approximately 80 nucleotides in length. Their secondary structure includes four short double-helical elements and three loops (D, anti-codon, and T loops). Lineage: Archaea; Nanobdellati; Candidatus Woesearchaeota. The record is from RNAcentral.